UACGUAGGGGGCAAGCGUUGUCCGGAAUCAUUGGGCGUAAAGCGCGUGUAGGCGGCCCGAAAAGUCUGGUGUGAAAACUUGAGGCUCAACCUCAAGCUGUCACUGGAUACUGUCGGGCUUGAGUCCGGAAGAGGAGAGUGGAAUUCCUGGUGUAGCGGUGGAAUGCGCAGAUAUCAGGAGGAACACCAAUGGCGAAGGCAGCUCUCUGGUACGUGACUGACGCUGAGACGCGAAAGCGUGGGGAGCAAACAGG
This 253-nucleotide ribosomal RNA is filed under the name uncultured bacterium. RNAcentral describes it as "partial 16S ribosomal RNA". It matches the Rfam family "Bacterial small subunit ribosomal RNA", at positions 524 to 776 of the family's 1533-position model. The record is from RNAcentral.